This 363-nucleotide ribosomal RNA is filed under the name uncultured eukaryote. RNAcentral's name for it is "SSU rRNA". It matches the Rfam family "Eukaryotic small subunit ribosomal RNA", at positions 567 to 944 of the family's 1831-position model. The record is from RNAcentral.
CCAGCAGCCGCGGUAAUUCCAGCUCUUAUAGUGUAUAUUAAAGUUGUUGCAGUUAAAAAGCUCGUAGUCUAUCAUCUAGCACUUUGCGCUGCUGGCUCGCGCCAGCGCGUUUUAAAGUGCUAUCUGUUCGAGAACUUCUCCUACCUUAACUGGUCGGAGAUGCUGAUCGGGCAUUUUCCUGAGAAAAAAUUAGAGUGUUCAAAGCAGGCUAAUGCUAUGAAUAGUACAGCUUGGAAUAAUAGAAUAAGACUGAAGUCUCUUUUGUUGGUUAUGAACUUUAGUAAUGGUUAAUAUAAACAGUCGGGGGUAUUAGUAUUUAAGUGUCAGAGGUGAAAUUCUAUGAUUACUUAAAGACUAACUUAU